Molecule: ribosomal RNA, 82 nt
Filed under: Octactis speculum
Lineage: Eukaryota; Dictyochophyceae; Dictyochales; Dictyochaceae
Description: partial Eukaryotic small subunit ribosomal RNA
Source: RNAcentral
GUCUUACUACGUACGGAGGGGCAUUCGGCUUUAAGGACUGUUCGAAGUCCAGUAUACUUAUGCAUGUUGCGAUGGUGAACAA